UGUAGCUCAGUGGUAGAGCUUGUGCUUAGCAUGCACUGGGCUGUGGGUUCAAUCCCCCCA
RNAcentral lists this transfer RNA (60 nucleotides) under Ictidomys tridecemlineatus (thirteen-lined ground squirrel). Its description in RNAcentral is "Spermophilus tridecemlineatus (thirteen-lined ground squirrel) tRNA". It matches the Rfam family "tRNA", at positions 6 to 65 of the family's 71-position model. Rfam says of the family: Transfer RNA (tRNA) molecules are approximately 80 nucleotides in length. Their secondary structure includes four short double-helical elements and three loops (D, anti-codon, and T loops). Lineage: Eukaryota; Metazoa; Chordata; Mammalia; Rodentia; Sciuridae. The record is from Rfam by way of RNAcentral.